RNAcentral lists this ribosomal RNA (429 nucleotides) under Chloroflexota bacterium. Its description in RNAcentral is "Chloroflexi bacterium partial 16S ribosomal RNA". It matches the Rfam family "Bacterial small subunit ribosomal RNA", at positions 355 to 776 of the family's 1533-position model. Lineage: Bacteria; Bacillati; Chloroflexota. The record is from RNAcentral.
UGGGGAAUAUUGCACAAUGGGCGCAAGCCUGAUGCAGCCAUGCCGCGUGUAUGAAGAAGGCCUUCGGGUUGUAAAGUACUUUCAGUCGGGAGGAAGGUGUCAAGGUUAAUAACCUUGGCAAUUGACGUUACCGACAGAAGAAGCACCGGCUAACUCCGUGCCAGCAGCCGCGGUAAUACGGAGGGUGCAAGCGUUAAUCGGAAUUACUGGGCGUAAAGCGCAUGCAGGCGGUUGAUUGAGUCAGAUGUGAAAUCCCCGGGCUUAACCCGGGAAUUGCAUCUGAUACUGGUCAGCUAGAGUCUUGUAGAGGGGGGUAGAAUUCCAUGUGUAGCGGUGAAAUGCGUAGAGAUGUGGAGGAAUACCGGUGGCGAAGGCGGCCCCCUGGACAAAGACUGACGCUCAGGUGCGAAAGCGUGGGGAGCAAACAGG